RNAcentral lists this ribosomal RNA (490 nucleotides) under uncultured bacterium. Its description in RNAcentral is "partial 16S ribosomal RNA". It matches the Rfam family "Bacterial small subunit ribosomal RNA", at positions 29 to 507 of the family's 1533-position model. The record is from RNAcentral.
AUUGAACGCUGGCGGCAGGCCUAACACAUGCAAGUCGAACGGUAACAGGAAGCAGCUUGCUGCUUCGCUGACGAGUGGCGGACGGGUGAGUAAUGUCUGGGAAGCUGCCUGAUGGAGGGGGAUAACUACUGGAAACGGUAGCUAAUACCGCAUAAUGUCGCAAGACCAAAGAGGGGGACCUUCGGGCCUCUUGCCAUCGGAUGUGCCCAGAUGGGAUUAGCUUGUUGGUGGGGUAACGGCUCACCAAGGCGACGAUCCCUAGCUGGUCUGAGAGGAUGACACGCAACAGGGGAACGGAGACACGGUCCGGACUCCGACGGGAGGCAGAAGGGGGGAAUAUUGAAAAAUGGGCGCAAGCCGGAGGCAGCCAGGCGGGGUGUAGGAAGAAGGCCUGCGGGUUGUAAAGUACUUUCAGGGGGGAGAAAGGGAGAAAAGUUAAUCCCUUUGCUCAUUGACGUUACCCGAAGAAGAAGCCCGGGCUAACCCCGUC